RNAcentral lists this long non-coding RNA (973 nucleotides) under Panax ginseng (ginseng). Its description in RNAcentral is "long non-coding RNA (PGIN_LNC016991)". The record is from RNAcentral. Lineage: Eukaryota; Viridiplantae; Streptophyta; Magnoliopsida; Apiales; Araliaceae.
CUCUCUCUCUCUCUCUCUCUCUCUUCUUUCCUUGAAAAUUCUUCAUCUUCUCCACUACUAUAACACACACACACAUAUAUAUAUAUAUAGCCAUCAACUCAUUCAACAAAAAAUUCAUUCAUUAUCCCUUUGAAUUUUUUUUCUAAUUCCCUCCGGCCCAACAAUUUAAUUUUCUCCGUUCUAGUACGUACUCCGAUAUAUAUAUAUAUAUAUAUAUAUAUAUAUAUAUAUAUAUAUAUAUAUAUAUCCUCCUGUUUGAUCUUCUUCUUGUAUUUAAUUAUUUGAAGACGAUGAUGAUGGUGAUGAACUCAAUAAUGAGAAUAUUGGUGGCUCUUCCGAUCAUUGGAUUCAUGUUUAUGGCGAUUUUGCAAGUGGGUGAGGCUAAGGAAUUAUUUGGUCCAUCACCUGCACCAAAUGGUCCGGCCAAUGACGGCUCAGCCAUUGAUCAAGGGGUUGCCUAUGUCCUUCUGCUUCUAGCUCUGGCCCUCACUUAUCUAAUCCAUUAACUAAUUAAUCCUUUCCUUUCUUUUUUCAUUCUUUAUGUAUUUCUUUUUCGAGAAAAUAAGAAAUUCACAAGCUUCCAUGAUCGAUCCCUACGGUUAUUGUAAAGAAAUUUAUUCAUAUACCACUGGUAUAUAUAUAUAUAUAUUCUCCACCAUUAAAUGGAGUUCCUUUUAAUAUGAUACAAUGGUGUCCUAAUAUUAUUUGCGUUGCGCUUGCUCAAGAUCGGAUUUCUUAUUUUAUUUAUUGUUUUGGUUUGGUUGAAUGUCAUAUGAUAAAAUAACUACUCUUCUGUUUUAAAAUUAGAGAUACAAUUUAAUUUUUAAAAUCAAAUAUUAACAUAUUAAACUUUAAAAUUUAUAUAACUUACAAAAGUUUAGAAUAAAAUAAAUUUGUGAUUAAUAAUUUUUUUAUAUAUUAUAUAAUUAUAAUAAUUAAAUUAAUUAAAAUUAAAUAAAUGCACAUCAACUUA